GACGAACGCUGGCGGCGUGCUUAACACAUGCAAGUCGAACGGAAAGGCCCUGCUUUUGUGGGGUGCUCGAGUGGCGAACGGGUGAGUAACACGUGAGUAACCUGCCCUUGACUUUGGGAUAACUUAAGGAAACUGGGGCUAAUACCGGAUAGGAUCUCCUGCUGCAGGGUGGGGGUUGGAAAGUUUCGGCGGUUGGGGAUGGACUAGCGGAUCAUUGGCUUGAUGGUGGGGUAGUGGCUUACCAAGGCCUUGCCGGGUAGCCGGCCUGAGAGGGUGACCGGCCACAUUGGGACUGAGAUACGGCCCAGACUCCUACGGCAGGCAGCAGUGGGGAAUAUUGCACAAUGGGCGGAAGCCUAAUGCAGCAACGCCGCGUGCGGGAUGGCGGCCUUCGGGUUGUAAUCCGCUUGCGCCUGUGACGAAGCGUGAGUGACGGUAAUGGGUAAAGAAGCACCGGCUAACUACGUU
RNAcentral lists this ribosomal RNA (468 nucleotides) under uncultured bacterium. RNAcentral describes it as "partial 16S ribosomal RNA". It matches the Rfam family "Bacterial small subunit ribosomal RNA", at positions 28 to 507 of the family's 1533-position model. The record is from RNAcentral.